Molecule: ribosomal RNA, 468 nt
Filed under: uncultured bacterium
Lineage: Bacteria
Description: partial 16S ribosomal RNA
Rfam family: Bacterial small subunit ribosomal RNA
Source: RNAcentral
GACGAACGCUGGCGGCGUGCUUAACACAUGCAAGUCGAACGGAAAGGCCCGGCUUUGGUGGGGUGCUCGAGUGGCGAACGGGUGAGUAACACGUGAGUAACCUGCCCUUGACUUGGGGAUAACUUCAGGAAGCGGGGGCUAAUACCGGAUAGGAGCUCCUGCUGCAUGGGGGGGGUUGGAAAGUUUCGGCGGUUGGGGAUGGACUCGCGGCUUAUCAGCUUGUUGGUGGGGUAGUGGCUUACCAAGGCUUUGACGGGUAGCCGGCCUGAGAGGGUGACCGGCCACAUUGGGACUGAGAUACGGCCCAGACUCCUACGGGAGGCAGCAGUGGGGAAUAUUGCACAAUGGGCGGAAGCCUGAUGCAGCAACGCCGCGUGCGGGAUGACGGCCUUCGGGUUGUAAACCGCUUUCGCCUGUGACGAAGCGUGAGUGACGGUAAUGGGUAAAGAAGCACCGGCUAACUACGUG